Molecule: non-coding RNA, 129 nt
Organism: Hydrogenibacillus schlegelii
Lineage: Bacteria; Bacillati; Bacillota; Bacilli; Thermicanales; Thermicanaceae
Source: Rfam
UCCGCCGCGAGGCGGAGUCUGAAGGAAGCCGGCGGCAAACCUCCGGCCCGACGAACAGAGGUCAUGGGUCAAGUCCGAGAUCGUGUGUAAAAUUGCCUUCUUUGGCGAAUGGAGCGGUGAGCACUUAGG